This 587-nucleotide long non-coding RNA is filed under the name Linum usitatissimum (flax). Its description in RNAcentral is "long non-coding RNA (LUSI_LNC005622)". Lineage: Eukaryota; Viridiplantae; Streptophyta; Magnoliopsida; Malpighiales; Linaceae. The record is from RNAcentral.
UGCAGAUGAUCAUUUGUUAUAGUCGCAUAGUAGAUGGAGUAAAAGUACAAUUUUCUCUUAGACCACAAUGUAAACGUGGAUUUUAUUUGUUUUCGGUCGAUGUAACGUUACAAUCAUAUGGAAGCUAAACCCCCAUCAACAGCUUCCACUAUAACGAAUUCAAUUCGACUACAACUAAUUUCCGAGACCACCACAACUACAGAAUCCGUCGGAGAGACAUACGCAAGUGGUGACCUGAUCGGGGAUGAAGCAUGGAAUGCACUUUCCCUCGCAAUCAGAAUUCUGUUUGCACGGUGUUAAAGCUGGCGCUCUCGCUUCCACUUCUGCAAAUCUCGUCAUUUCCCCAUCUACAAAAUGUAAUAAAUAAUGCGAUAAAUGAUUAAAACCUAGCAUCCGCCUUUUUUAUAAAUAAGAUGAAGUAAAAAAGAUAUUGAAGAGGGUAAUUUACGUUGAAAAACAAGAAGGAAAGCAAGUAAGAAGCAAACAAGUUUGAUGGAUGUCUUCUCCAUUUGUCUUUGGUCUGCUUUCUUUCUUAAAGAAAUUGAUAAGAUUUUUGUUAAGAGAUUUUCACUUUUGUUCUUGACGAU